AUUGAACGCUGGCGGCAGGCCUAACACAUGCAAGUCGAACGAGUGGCGGACGUGUGCGUAAUAUCUGUGAAACUGCCUGAUUGAUGUGUAUAACUACUUGACACGGUAGCUAAUACCGCCUACCAUCGGAUGUGCCCAGAUGGGAUUAUCUAGUAGGUGGGUAAAGGCUCACCUAGGCGACGAUCCCUAGCUGGUCUGAGAGGAUGACCAGCGAAACUGGAACUGAGACCCGGUCCAGACUCCUACGGGAGGCAGAAGUGGGGAAUAUUGCACAAUGGGCGCAAGCCGGAUACAGACAUGCCGCGUGGAUGAAGAAGGCCUGCGGGUUGGAAAGGACUGGCAGCGGGGAGGCGUUACCCGCAGAAGAAGCACCGGAUAACUCCGUGCCAGCAGCCGCGGUAAUUC
RNAcentral lists this ribosomal RNA (405 nucleotides) under uncultured bacterium. RNAcentral describes it as "partial 16S ribosomal RNA". It matches the Rfam family "Bacterial small subunit ribosomal RNA", at positions 30 to 526 of the family's 1533-position model. The record is from RNAcentral.